GUGGCAACAAUGCUGUUUUAAAAAAAAACCAAAAUAUAUAUAUAUAUAUCUUGUAGAUUUUGUAGGUUUUAUUGUUAGUUGUGAAAGGCUUUAACCUGUGCUGGAAAUGUCUUAUUCUGUUACCUUACAUACAGAUUUUGUAAAUGGGGCAUCAGUGAGACACAAAUGACAUCACAAAACAAACAAACAAAAUUACAAAUAUAGUUUGUUCUUUUUCUCUCCCAUGUCCCCUUUCCAAAUUUUUAUUAUUGAUCAUAUUUUUUUGCUUUUACUUCUGCUUAUUUCCUUCACGUUCUUCCCCCUUCUUCUCUCAGAAGAGUUUUAAAUAGUCUAAAAGAAUUUGUUUGGGGGAAAAAGAGGGGUGGAAGUGGGUUAAAAACAAAACAAAACAAAAAAAAGAAAGAAAGUAAAUAUUCCCAAUCAAUAAAAACACAUGCAUGAGAAUAUUUGUAGGUGCUUUCAGCUUCAAAAACCUUCAAACCGUGAAGACCCACAGCAAUCUGUGCAAUGUAGCCGUCUCCACAGCCAACCCCCUCCCUGCUGUUCCGGGAAAAAAGAUGAAACAGACGCAUCAGGCGUCAGACUGUCUCUACAGCACCUUGGAUUGGAUGUGUGAGAGAAAUAUCUCACCUCUCCUGCAAACCUGGAUCAAAUGCAUACCUGCUGAGUCCAACACACACACACACGGUCUGGCUCGUCCAUGAUGUCGCUGUCCUUUCCCGAUGCUUCGCACUGAAAGUGUGAUGAUGGCAGGGUUCCCAUCAUGGAUGAGAAAGACUUUCAGAGAUAUUUCAGAAUAUUUGUGUGUUCCGAAGUGAAAAGUUCAGAUUGUAAUGGUGGGAUUUCAGUCCAGGAGAACCUUCUUGAAGUGUUGAGAUGGUUAUGGAUAAAAAGGUGCAAUCUCAUACCAGAACAUGUCCUUCUGAAGGAACCAUCAUCGUUAUUCUUUUUCAGAAAAGUUCUGAUUUCGCAAGGUUUCGCAAGGUCUCACGCAAUCCUAUGUGAAGCAUGUUUUUUUCUUUACAGAGGAACUUCCAAAAGUGCUCAGAAAUAGCACUUUUAUUUAUUAUCUGCCAACCAAUCGGGUCGCAAGUUAGGGAAGAACUGAGAAAAACAAUCACGGAGGAUAAAGUGCUGGGGAAACAUUUCACUGCCAAUAUUCCGACUUUGUUUAACCGAAAAUAACAUAUUUUGGGAUGUUCACCACUAACUAACCACUAACUGUAGCUGCAUACAGUCAUGUCACACACAGUUCAAAUUCUUAAAAUUUUCUUCCUCGAAAGCUGCAAUCUUUAUUUCAUCUGCAUAACUGAUAAUGGUAAAUCUAAUCUAGAGAGCAAGCUAUGGUGGUUAGCCAUCUGAUAGUAGCUAGGACUGGAAAGAGUGUUGUUAUGGUUACCUUAUCUGGGGAAGAAGUGCAAAAGCAGACAUAAGCAUCUAAAGAACCCUUGUGGUUUCUCAGGAGUAUACAAGAGCAAACAGUAUGUAAGUACAGUGUCAGGUGUUAGAUCAUUCUCACAUUGGAUUUUCAUCACUCGUCACUAAUUUUGAUGGCUAAUUAGCUUCUUUUUUGUUAUUUUUAGAUGUGCAGCAAGCAACAGAAAGAAAUCAGCAAGGAUUAAAAACUCUCAAGUGUCACUACUGAAUAAUGAGAAGCUCCUCCAGUCACGUCUUAUUGUUUUCUAUUGGCCACCAACGCAAACAACCUCCUAAUAAAUCAAAUCAAAAACUCAAACUAGGCUAGUUAGUUAGCCAAUACUAGCUAGGACUGGUUAGAGAGUUGUUAUGAUUUACAGUGUGUGCAUCACAUGAACCAUUUUUUUAAAAGUACAAGUAAACCCUUGAGGAGUUCUCAUUUCUCAGGAAGGUGUCAUGGAUAUCCUGGAAGGGAAUCCGGAAUACAGUUCCCAGCAGCCAUUGCACCACACAGCAUCGCCAUCACAUGACCACCCGCACCUGAUUCUCACUGACUUAAUGAGCACCUGUGUGCAUAUAGCCACAGUUUGCACUGCACUCCUAAUCUUGUGUUAGUCUUUCGUCUCUGUCUUUAUGCUCAUGGUCUUUGGUACUGUUUGAAUCUUGCCUUAGUGUUUUGCUUCCUGUUCAUACUUCUUGUUUUGUUUUGUUUUGGUAGUCAUUAAAACUGAAAAUCUACACUUGCAUCUGUCUCUGCCACCAAACCAUGACAGAAGGGUCGCAGGAAACCAGGAUCCUAUCCCAAGGAAUUUGGGCACCCCUGGACAGUGUGCCAACAAAUCUUGGGGCACACACAUUCACACACUAUAAACAAUUUAGAAGUGUGAAUCAGUCUACAACGCAUGUCUUUGGACUGUGGGAGGAAACCAGAGUACCCAGAGGAAAUCCCCGAACGAAUCACAGGGAGAACAUGCAAAGGUCGGAGUCGAACCCCCAACCCCGGAGGUGAGAGGCAAACAUGCUAACUACUUUUUAUAUGAUGACCGUGUCUUCCACUUUGAAUCUGCCACUCUAUGAAGGAUCGCCCCAAAACAAUCACAGCUUGUUAGCUAUUGGGCACAAAAAAACCAAAUCAAAUUUCACCAAAGUUGAACUUGGAGUGAACCUCAUAUGCAACACUGUAUGAGUAUUGAAAUGUACGUUUCCCUGACAGGAUGACUUCCAAUGAAAUAAAUAUGUUUGCAUGUAAAUUCAUGGAAAAUUGAGAUCUAUAGCAUUGAAAGAUCCAAAUAUUGUUAUUAGUUAGAAAGGAUUUGCCCACUCUACCCUACAGCAGCGGGUCUUAUAAAAGGUGUCUGAAAAGUCAGGAACCAUGUUAGACAAAUGUGUCUAUCUGGAUAUGUUGAGAAAAAAAAUGAGAAAUAGUGGCUGAGAAAAUACGUAGAGAGUCAGGAUGAACAUGUUGAGCAUACAGUAUGUUGUAAAUAAUA
Ictalurus punctatus (channel catfish) is the source of this 2906-nucleotide long non-coding RNA. NCBI's taxonomy places the organism in Eukaryota, Metazoa, Chordata, Actinopteri, Siluriformes, Ictaluridae. The record is from Ensembl.